RNAcentral lists this long non-coding RNA (1127 nucleotides) under Phasianus colchicus (ring-necked pheasant). RNAcentral describes it as "lncRNA (ENSPCLG00000006983.1)". Lineage: Eukaryota; Metazoa; Chordata; Aves; Galliformes; Phasianidae. The record is from RNAcentral.
CAGGGCCAUGUUGUCAAACAGCAUUGCUUGGUGUGUGCCUCAUCCAGUGGCCUCAGGUAUUUUCUGAGCCACCCCACUCGGAUCUACUCUCACAAAAUCAUUUUUUCCUUUUGGAGGAGGAGAGAAAACAGGGAGAAAUCCAACCCAAGAAACACAUUGAAAAGCCCACCUGAGGGCUGCAGGAGGAGGGGAGGGAGACAGCAGGUAAGCAGGCAGGGAUCAAGGAUUGGCUGAGCACACCAAGGGCUCUCAUGACACAGGAAUCCAGCGUCUCCCCCCACGCGUCCUUGUUUGAAUUUAGCAUGCAUUCUCCUAUGGUGUCAUAAUUACUAAGAUUACCAAAUGAAUCUUUUGUUUCUGUACACACCGGGCAUUCAGCGGAGCUCUAAUAGUUGUCAUUAAGUUUUCAGGGAGGUGGGAGAAGAUAGAUUGAAUGCAUGCACUCCGGCACUGCGCAGAGCCCAUUGAUGGCUGCUGAGUAAUGAUUUUUUUCUAAUUGGUGGAGAGCAGCGGCCCUAAUGGAUGGAGCCUCUCUGUGCAUUUACACUGUCUCCUCAAUCAAUAACCCUCGCUGUGCCUGGCACGGAGGAGUUCCUGAAAGCCCCUUUGCAAUAAUGGAUUGCUGGAGGUUACACAAACCGCUGCCUGCCGCUGAGUCAGCCCUCUGCCAGACACCUUGCAUGGGUGGGAUGGGCAGGGAUGUUCCACGGCCACCGGCACCCUGCAAGCAGCACAAAAGGGGGAAUCAGUCAUACAUAAGUCAGUUUCUCACUGAGCAAGGAAUGUCGGAGGGAAGCAGGUGGCUUCGUUCCCCUACUUUUCAGCAGCAUCUCUCUGCAAGGUCGACUGAAGACUUGCAGAAUCCAUGCCAGAGCCCUGAGAUCCUCCUGCUCCCUGAUGUCUAAGAUCACCUCUGAGACCCACAAGGUCACCACGUCACAGGAUGAAGAAGUCUGUUUCAGGGGCACGGGAAUGCUUUUUGCCUGCACCAGAAACAGCCCACAUGCUCCAGAGGUGCACAUCGAUGUACAUCGGGAAGACAGGAUGGCAGAAAUCUGGUCAGAGUUCCGUUAUCUCAUCGGUGCUGCAGGAGUUAAAAUAAAUACAUAGGUUUUCAGAGCGAAACA